UGGAUUAAACAAUUUUUCUUACAUCUCCCCCGCCCGGAGCCCAGGUAUCAUAUACACCCCCAAAAUAAAGAGCCUUGAAUACUAGAAGAAAAGCACCUAUACCG
Molecule: small RNA, 104 nt
Filed under: Prunus dulcis (almond)
Lineage: Eukaryota; Viridiplantae; Streptophyta; Magnoliopsida; Rosales; Rosaceae
Description: sRNA ncRNA
Rfam family: Antisense RNA which regulates isiA expression
Source: RNAcentral